This 253-nucleotide ribosomal RNA is filed under the name uncultured bacterium. Its description in RNAcentral is "partial 16S ribosomal RNA". It matches the Rfam family "Bacterial small subunit ribosomal RNA", at positions 524 to 776 of the family's 1533-position model. The record is from RNAcentral.
GACGAACCGUCCAAACGUUGUUCGGAAUUACUGGGUUUAAAGGGCGCGUAGGCGGUGCGUUAAGUCGGUGGUGAAAUACUUUGGCUCAACCAGAGAAUUGCCGCUGAAACUGGCGCGCUCGAGUGAGGUAGAGGUGCAUGGAACUUCCGGUGGAGUGGUGAAAUACGUUGAUAUCGGAAGGAACGCCUGUGGCGAAAGCGAUGCACUGGACCUCUUCUGACGCUGAGGCGCGAAAGCCAGGGGAGCGAACGGG